This 253-nucleotide ribosomal RNA is filed under the name uncultured prokaryote. RNAcentral describes it as "partial 16S ribosomal RNA". It matches the Rfam family "Bacterial small subunit ribosomal RNA", at positions 524 to 776 of the family's 1533-position model. The record is from RNAcentral.
UACAGAGGGUGCGAGCGUUAAUCGGAGUUACUGGGCGUAAAGGGCGCGUAGGCGGAUUGGUGUGUGUGAUGUGAAAGCCCCGGGCUUAACCUGGGAAGCGCAUCGCAAACUACCGAUCUGGAGUAUAUGAGAGGGUGGCGGAAUUUCCGGUGUAGCGGUGAAAUGCGUAGAGAUCGGAAGGAACGUCAAUGGCGAAGGCAGCCACCUGGCAUAAUACUGACGCUGAGGCGCGAAAGCGUGGGGAGCGAACAGG